RNAcentral lists this ribosomal RNA (442 nucleotides) under uncultured bacterium. Its description in RNAcentral is "partial 16S ribosomal RNA". It matches the Rfam family "Bacterial small subunit ribosomal RNA", at positions 338 to 795 of the family's 1533-position model. The record is from RNAcentral.
CCUACGGGAGGCAGCAGUGGGGAAUAUUGGGCAAUGGGCGCAAGCCUGACCCAGCAACGCCGCGUGAAGGAAGAAGGCUUUCGGGUUGUAAACUUCUUUUAAGGGGGAAGAGCAGAAGACGGUACCCCUUGAAUAAGCCACGGCUAACUACGUGCCAGCAGCCGCGGUAAUACGUAGGUGGCAAGCGUUGUCCGGAUUUACUGGGUGUAAAGGGCGUGCAGCCGGAGAGACAAGUCAGAUGUGAAAUCCACGGGCUCAACCCGUGAACUGCAUUUGAAACUGUUUCCCUUGAGUGUCGGAGAGGAAAUCGGAAAUCCUUGUGUAGCGGUGAAAUGCGUAGAUAUAAGGAAGAACACCAGUGGCGAAGGCGGAUUACUGGACGAUAACUGACGGUGAGGCGCGAAAGCGUGGGGAGCAAACAGGAUUAGAUACCCCUGUAGUC